Molecule: ribosomal RNA, 492 nt
Filed under: uncultured bacterium
Lineage: Bacteria
Description: partial 16S ribosomal RNA
Rfam family: Bacterial small subunit ribosomal RNA
Source: RNAcentral
AUUGAACGCUGGCGGCAUGCUUUACACAUGCAAGUCGAACGGUAACAGGCCUUCGGGUGCUGACGAGUGGCGAACGGGUGAGUAAUGCAUCGGAACGUACCCAGAGGUGGGGGAUAACGCAGCGAAAGCUGUGCUAAUACCGCAUGUGAUCUGAGGAUGAAAGCGGGGGACCGAGCAGCAAUGUUUGGCCUCGCGCCUUUGGAGCGGCCGAUGUCGGAUUAGCUAGUUGGUGGGGUAAAGGCCUACCAAGGCGACGAUCCGUAGCUGGUCUGAGAGGACGACCAGCCACACUGGGACUGAGACACGGCCCAGACUCCUACGGGAGGCAGCAAUGGGGAAUUUUGGACAAUGGGCGCAGGCCUGAUCCAGCAAUGCCGCGUGCGGGAAGAAGGCCUUCGGGUUGUAAACCGCUUUUGGCAGGAACGAAACGGUGUCCGCUAAUACCGGGCGCUAAUGACGGUACCUGCAGAAUAAGCACCGGCUAACUACGUG